AGAAUCAACGCUGGCGGCGUGCCUAACACAUGCAAGUCGCACGAGAAAGGGACUUCGGUCUUGAGUAAAGUGGCGCACGGGUGAGUAACACGUGAAUUAUCUACCUCCGAAUGGGGAAUAACUGAGAGAAAUCUUAGCUAAUACCGCAUAAUACCUACGGGUCAAAGCAGCAAUGCGUUUGGAGAGGAGUUCGCGGUCGAUUAGUUAGUUGGCGGGGUAAUGGCCCACCAAGACGAUGAUCGAUAUCCGGCCUGAGAGGGCGCACGGACACACUGGAACUGAAACACGGUCCAGACUCCUACGGGAGGCAGCAGUGGGGAAUUUUGCGCAAUGGGGGAAACCCUGACGCAGCAACGCCGCGUGGAGGAUGAAAUAUCUUGGUAUGUAAACUCCUUUCGAUGGGGAAGAUAAUGACGGUACCCAUAGAAGAAGCCCCGGCUAACUUCGCGCCAGCAGCCGC
This 460-nucleotide ribosomal RNA is filed under the name uncultured bacterium. RNAcentral describes it as "SSU rRNA". It matches the Rfam family "Bacterial small subunit ribosomal RNA", at positions 26 to 518 of the family's 1533-position model. The record is from RNAcentral.